This 1425-nucleotide ribosomal RNA is filed under the name Triticum aestivum (bread wheat). RNAcentral's name for it is "partial small subunit ribosomal RNA". The record is from RNAcentral. Lineage: Eukaryota; Viridiplantae; Streptophyta; Magnoliopsida; Poales; Poaceae.
AAUGGAGAUGACAGGCUCAGCAACUUGCCUGAACAUAUUUUGCUUACCAUCAUUGAUCGACUUGAUAUCCGCGAGGCUGCAAGAACCAGUGUCCUCUCUCGGUGGCGGCACCUCCCUGCUAUGCUCUCUCAACUUGUGAUAAUUGUUUGGGACUUCUUAGAUGCGUUCAAUUGCAACAAUGAUGAAAUUGUUCGGGGCAACGAAGCUGUGGUUAAAGUGACAAAGAGCAUCCUGGCACGCAGAGAUUUAAGCCGAAAUACCAUCCAGUUUCUGUGCAUGACGUUCUUCUUGAGGGAAGAUGAUCCAAUAUUGAUUGGGCAUGCUGUUGCUCAUGCCAUGGCAACCCAGAAGGUUGAGAUAGCCGAGUUCACAAUUUUGACGGAGAGAGAUAAUAUGUUUUGUGACGAUAAUGAUCUGGUCAUCUAUGGGCGACGAUUCAUGUUGUUCUUUGAUGCAUGUCCAAAUGCAUUUGGUGGUCUCACACGCCUUAACCUAGAGAAUUUGAGAUUUGGUGAAUCAGACAUCCCUAACGUCCUCAACACUUGCAAACGUUUGAAUCAUCUAGGAUUGUUCUAUUGUGACUCAGGAAGUUGGACCGUGCUGCAAGUUGAGCACGCGCAACUCAGUGAGCUCGCUAUUGUUAAUUGUUGUUUUGAAAGAAUUGAGCUCAACUCACUUCCGAAACUCACACGCAUCGUCUUUGAGGGUUGGAUCUCUUUUGAAGAUCAACUAUCUUUUGGUUAUGUCCCGUUGCUUGAUACUGUAAGCCUCACAAAUGCCAGUCUUAGUUGGCAUAAGAUGAUCAAGUUAAGCAAGUUUCUUAGGCGUACUCCAUCUGUGAAAUGCUUGAAACUGGGAUUUAAUUCUGAAAAGAUUUGGGUUCAACCAGAAUGUCUGACGGAAAGGCUGGCAUAUGUGUUCCACCAAUUAAGGUUUGUGAAUCUAACUAAUAUGCCUGAGGGGUAUGAUCUCACCUGGACAUUGUUCAUACUUAAAGCCGCGCCGAACCUGAAGGAGCUGCACAUGAGUGUAUGGGAUCAUCUGCGUGAAAUGAAAACAGACGCAAAGGAGAGGAAGUCACUCACGUACAGUGAGAAUAAGGGUGCAGAAUGGGAAUCAUCUGGAACUGCUUUCCAGCAUCAGAGUCUGGUCACGCUCGCCAUCUUCGGGUUCCGAGCUCGAGACUACAUGAUGAACUAUGUCAGGCGUGUCAUGGAAACAGCCGUCAAUCUAAAGGACGUGUUCUUGUAUGAUCGGUUGAUGUGUGAGAAGUGCCGUAACGUCCUGUCGCAGUUUCCGCCUAAGUGGAAGCAGGACUGUGUGGAGAAGUUUAUCACAAACGGGAUCAAUUCGUCUGCCAUAAUGCAAUUCCAGACCAUCGGCUAUUUAAGGCCUGAUCAUGUUGAUAAGCUGUGGUUCCUGUAG